CCUACGGGGGGCUGCAGUGGGGAAUAUUGGACAAUGGGGGGAACCCUGAUCCAGCCAUGCCGCGUGUGUGAAGAAGGCCCUCGGGUUGUAAAGCACUUUCAGUGAGGAAGAACGCCUGGUGGUUAAUACCCAUCAGGAAAGACAUCACUCACAGAAGAAGCACCGGCUAACUCCGUGCCAGCAGCCGCGGUAAUACGGAGGGUGCGAGCGUUAAUCGGAAUUACUGGGCGUAAAGCGCGCGUAGGUGGCUUGAUAAGCCGGUUGUGAAAGCCCCGGGCUCAACCUGGGAACGGCAUCCGGAACUGUCAAGCUAGAGUGCAGGAGAGGAAGGUAGAAUUCCCGGUGUAGCGGUGAAAUGCGUAGAGAUCGGGAGGAAGACCAGUGGCGAAGGCGGCCUUCUGGACUGACACUGACACUGAGGUGCGAAAGCGUGGGUAGCAAACAGGAUUAGAUACCCUGGUAGUC
This 465-nucleotide ribosomal RNA is filed under the name Vreelandella stevensii. Its description in RNAcentral is "partial 16S ribosomal RNA". It matches the Rfam family "Bacterial small subunit ribosomal RNA", at positions 338 to 795 of the family's 1533-position model. The record is from RNAcentral. Lineage: Bacteria; Pseudomonadati; Pseudomonadota; Gammaproteobacteria; Oceanospirillales; Halomonadaceae.